RNAcentral lists this long non-coding RNA (944 nucleotides) under Equus caballus (horse). Its description in RNAcentral is "lncRNA (ENSECAG00000052739.1)". Lineage: Eukaryota; Metazoa; Chordata; Mammalia; Perissodactyla; Equidae. The record is from RNAcentral.
AGGGUAUGGAUUUGGCAGGCUGUCGUCAGCUGCGAUUGGAACCCUGAAGAAGGAAAAUUGCGAGCUGAGGUCAGCCAACUAUCAACUUAAGGCAUGAUGUGAAAGUCAGAAUACUACUUGGCAGCUAUUAAGGAGACUCUCAUAUCCUAGAGCCAGAGGGCAGAAUGUGCUGAGAAUGCUACGAAGAUCUGGUUGUAAAAGUGGUAGAGUUACAAAGGAGACCGAAUAUACAGCCCCAGCAAAUCUCCUAUGCUAAAGAAGGAAGAAUAACAGAGUAAUCACUAGAAGAGUUGAAGGUUGAGCUGGAAAUAUGGAGGAAGCCGUAAAGAUGGAAUGGAACUGAUGUUACACAUAUUAUCUUAUUGGACCUCACAACAAUUCCAUGAGCUUGAACUCCAAGUCUACCUUGUGAAGAAACCUAGGCUAGUCCAUUGGAAGAUGAGACACCAUGUGAAGUCUGUUGCAGAGACCAGUCAUCCCAGCUGAGGCCCAUUACAUGAACUAGCCUGACAGCCGCCAGACACAUGUGUGAGGACAUCCUAGACCAUCUGGUUUCAGUUUCAACAGAGUCUCUAGCUGAUUGCAGAGAUCAGGCAAGUCAGCCUGGAGCAGAACUGCCCAGCAGAUCCACAGAAUGCACUGUAUUUACCUCGGAUAAUUAAUUUGUGAAACAGGACCAGAAAGCGAUAUACCAAUUUCUAUAUAAGUAGCAGCAAAUCCAUUCAAUUUAUUAAUGUCAGAAGAAACUAAGACCUACAUUUUAAAGACUGUGUUUUCUAUGUUAGAGUGAAUAAAAGGGCAAUGAUGUUUAGAAGAAUUGAGUUGGAAAGGUCAGUGUUGGAAAGCACAAACCUGGUUAAGCUAAAGAGGAGCUAGAUAUCUCUGAUAGCUUCAACAGAAACAAAGCAGUCAGAGAAAAUUCCUACCCAUGAAUUAAAUUUUAG